CCUCUAUAAAAUGGAGAUAGUGAUACCUAUUCUAGUUCAGAAGAAUCUCAAAGAAUCAUAUGAGAUCAGCGUUGAACCUUGCAACCGCCUGAGAAGACCUGGACUGCUCUCCUUGAUGGACUCGUGCUCCUCAUCUCCCAGGGAGUAGAACUGAAGCUGUAGCCUGGAGGUUAAGCUCUGGGGGCUUUGAAACAGGACAGAUUUCCAAGCCCCUGUCCAGGAUUCUGAUUUAGCUGGCCUGGGAUGAAAACACGGAUCUCUAUGUUUAACAAACAAACCAGUGGAUUUUUAACACAGGGGGUUUAGGAAAUUAUACAAAGUAAACACUCUCCCAGGGCUAAUCUUGUUAUUAAUUGCUUAUUGUCAGUUAAAAGCAUUUCUUCACUGGAGAUGAGGAUAAAGCCCAAACUUAAAGCGUCAGUAAAACUUUCAAAUUGAAGAUUAUUUGUAAAUGUUUUUCUCCUAAAUUCUAAGUCUCCUAUUCCAGAUAGUAUCAUUCUCAUAAUCAAAAUCAUCAAAUCAUCAAAAAAAUAAAAUUCUCAUAAUCGAAAUUUAACGUUCUUCAUUCCACUUAGAAUCAGAGAAAGGCUGUGAACAGCAGGUAAGACCUAGAGUCACUGCAGUGUCUCAUUGUACUGUCUGGCUUCAGCUCCAGGACUGAACACACACAGCCAAUGUUCAGAAUUAUGAUUCUGGAAUUCCACGGUGUUCUGACAGUUAUAUCCUUAAUUAUUUCUUUAGACUUAAUUCCUAAAAGUGGAAUUUCUG
Molecule: long non-coding RNA, 768 nt
Filed under: Papio anubis (olive baboon)
Lineage: Eukaryota; Metazoa; Chordata; Mammalia; Primates; Cercopithecidae
Description: lncRNA (ENSPANG00000045923.1)
Source: RNAcentral